RNAcentral lists this long non-coding RNA (659 nucleotides) under Rattus norvegicus (Norway rat). RNAcentral describes it as "long non-coding RNA NONRATT030350". The record is from RNAcentral. Lineage: Eukaryota; Metazoa; Chordata; Mammalia; Rodentia; Muridae.
AGGAGUUGGAAGUUGGUCUGUAGAGGAGAUAGAUGUAAGCUCUCAAGUGCUGGUCCAGCAUCAUGCCUACCACCAUGCCACACCCUUUGGAACUGUGAGCCCCAAUAUUGCAAACACAAAAUCCCAUGGGAAUCCUGUGAGAGCAGCAGUCACCAGGAAGAGAGACCACGCCAAGGAGAGCAGUAUCAGUGACUGAAAACAGGCUUCCACUGUAGACAGUCGUCACUCCACUACCUGAAACACACCGCACUGGGAAGACAAGCCAACCGUUCCUGACUGCAGGCUACAGACCUUCCCAUCCUGUGUGCCCUUCCAAUCUUGUCCCCAGCAGGUCUCUGCAGCCUUACUCUGCUUAGCUGCCCUCCUCCUCCUCUUCCUCCUUCUCUUCUUCCUCUUCUUCCUCCUCUUCCUCAUCUUCCUCCUCUUCCCCCCUCCUCCUCUUCCUCCUCAACACAAAGGUCCGUUGUGUACCUCACACAUAUUCUGUACAUGUCAACCACGUGCUCCCUGGCUCUGUCGAAGUUAAAGAACAUUCACUCUCAAGGUAAAUGUCAUCUUCUCACAGACGUGUCUGUGGCCCUGAAACAUCAGCGGCUCCCCAAGCAGCACUUUCAGAUUUUAGUUUUAAGUAAAAUUUAAGUAAUAAAUGUGUGAUUGUU